AGGACGAACGCUGGCGGCGUGCUUAACACAUGCAAGUCGAGCGGUGACCCUCCUUCGGGAGGUGAUCAGCGGCGAACGGGUGAGUAACACGUGGGCAACCUGCCCCUCACACUGGGAUAACCUCGGGAAACCGGGGCUAAUACCGGAUACGACCUCGAGCGGCAUCUCUUGAGGUGGAAAGCUCCGACGGUGAGGGAUGGGCCCGCGGCCUAUCAGCUUGUUGGUGGGUAAUGGCCUACCAAGGCGACGACGGGUA
RNAcentral lists this ribosomal RNA (256 nucleotides) under uncultured bacterium. RNAcentral's name for it is "partial small subunit ribosomal RNA". It matches the Rfam family "Bacterial small subunit ribosomal RNA", at positions 26 to 285 of the family's 1533-position model. The record is from RNAcentral.